UUAUGAGUCCUAGUUGUCUAAUAAACAACUUUUGUGAAAGAAAUUGCAUGAAAACACCUUAAAAAGGGCUAGAUUGCUAAGUUGUAAAAUGAGUUGUAAAUGUGUGAAAUAGUUGAAAUUAUGAGUUGCUAUAGUUAUGAAAAUGGUUCAUCUAGACUCAAGGAGUAAAGAAAUGUGAUAAAAAUUAUUUUACGAGCCUAGGGGUAAUUUGGUAAUUUUGGCAAAAUAUAGGGGCAAAAUUGUAAAAAUUGCCCAAGUGUGUCAAUGGACUAAUUUGAUCAGUACAUUGUUUUAAUAAGUUGAAUGUGAUAUUUUAGAUGAUGAAAAUCGAGAUUUGGACCUAGAACGGAAAGAAAUUGAUUAAGGGAUAAUUACGUUUUUUUUUCACCUUUGUGGUAUCGAGAGUUUCCAGGUUACCUCGGGUUGGAGGCCGUCAGAGAUAUUAUCACACUGUCAAGCUAACGCUAUUGGUGUAGUGAUUUCAAGUACUUUGAGCCUAUGUCAUGUAUAGGAGUUUAAAUAUUAGAGUAUGUGAUAUGGCUUUAACCAUAUGUGUUGGCCUAUUUUGAUUAUGGGGUUGUAAAUCUAUUUUAAUUAUGCAUGCAUGUGCUAUGGUAUUAUGUGAUGAGUUUAUAAUGAUUAUAGUAUGAACGUGGUAAA
Molecule: long non-coding RNA, 660 nt
Organism: Gossypium arboreum
Lineage: Eukaryota; Viridiplantae; Streptophyta; Magnoliopsida; Malvales; Malvaceae
Exons: 2
Source: RefSeq, a predicted model, not a curated record